This 281-nucleotide ribosomal RNA is filed under the name Escherichia coli B7-1. RNAcentral's name for it is "partial 16S ribosomal RNA". The record is from RNAcentral. Lineage: Bacteria; Pseudomonadati; Pseudomonadota; Gammaproteobacteria; Enterobacterales; Enterobacteriaceae.
GCGGCCUGACUGUGGCGCAGAUGCAAAGCCAGAUGGACCCGGUAUACACGCCGGCGCGAAAAAUCCACCUGUACCACUGCGACCAUCGCGGCCUGCCGCUGGCCCUUAUCAGUAAGGAAGGGGCAACAGAAUGGUGCGCAGAAUACGAUGAGUGGGGCAACCUGCUGAAUGAAGAGAACCCGCAUCAGCUGCAGCAGCUUAUCCGCCUGCCGGGGCAGCAGUAUGAUGAGGAGUCCGGCCUGUAUUACAACCGCCACCGCUAUUAUGACCCGCUGCACGGG